RNAcentral lists this ribosomal RNA (689 nucleotides) under uncultured organism. Its description in RNAcentral is "bacterial SSU rRNA". It matches the Rfam family "Bacterial small subunit ribosomal RNA", at positions 71 to 774 of the family's 1533-position model. The record is from RNAcentral.
AUGACCCUUCGGGGGAUAGACUAGUGNCAGCGGCGGACGGGUGAGUAACGCGUAAUAACCUGCCAUGACAGGAGGAUAGCCAUCGGAAACGGUGAUUAAUACUUGAUGAGGCUACAGAUUCGCAUGAAUCAGUAGUUAAAGAAUUUUGGUGUAUGAUGGAUUUGCGUUUGAUUAGCUAGUUGGUAAGGUAAAAGCUUACCAAGGCGAUGAUCAAUAGCCGGCCUGAGAGGGUGAACGGCCACACUGGAACUGAGACGGGGUCCAGACUCCUACGGGAGGCAGCAGUGGGGAAUAUCGCACAAUGGAGGAUAUCUCUGAUGCAGCAACGCCGCGUGAACGAAGAAGGCUUUCGAGUCGUAAAGUUCUGUUAUAGGGGAAGAAGAAGUGACGGUACCCUAUGAGAAAGCCACGGCUAAUUACGUGCCAGCAGCCGCGGUAAUACGUAAGUGGCAAGCGUUAUCCGGAAUUACUGGGCAUAAAGAGUUCGUAGGCGGUCAAUCAAGCCAAUAGUGAAAUCCAUCGGCCUAACCGAUGUAAGCUAAUGGAACUGAGUGACUUGAGUACAGGAGAGGAAAGUGGAAUUCCUAGUGUAGUAGUGAAAUGCGUACAUAUUAGGAAGAACAUCAGUAGCGAAGGCGACUUUCUGGUCUGUAACUGACGCUGAGGAACGACAGCGUGGGGAGCGAACA